RNAcentral lists this unclassified non-coding RNA (375 nucleotides) under uncultured Nitrospirota bacterium. RNAcentral describes it as "uncultured Nitrospirae bacterium contains 16S-23S intergenic spacer region". The record is from RNAcentral. Lineage: Bacteria; Pseudomonadati; Nitrospirota.
UCCGGCUUAACGCCGGCAGUCCCCCCAGAGUCCCCGGCCGAACCGCUGGCAACUGGGAGCGAGGGUUGCGCUCGUUGCGGGACUUAACCCAACACCUCACGGCACGAGCUGACGACAGCCGUGCAGCACCUGCACAGGCUCCCUUGCGGGUCCCUUGGCUUUCGCCUCAGUACCACCUGCACGUCAAGUCCGGGUAAGGUUCUUCGCGUCGCGUCGAAUUGAACCACAUGCACCACCGCUUGUGCGGGCCCCCGUCAAUUCCUUUGAGUUUCAACCUUGCGGCCGUACUCCCCAGGCGGGGAACUUACUCCGUUAGGUGCGGCACCGGCGGUAACCCGCCGACACUUAGUUCCCAUCGUUUAGGGCGUGGACUAC